RNAcentral lists this transfer RNA (72 nucleotides) under Marmota marmota marmota (Alpine marmot). It matches the Rfam family "tRNA". Rfam says of the family: Transfer RNA (tRNA) molecules are approximately 80 nucleotides in length. RNAcentral also lists the same sequence under 1 other name. The record is from Rfam by way of RNAcentral. Lineage: Eukaryota; Metazoa; Chordata; Mammalia; Rodentia; Sciuridae.
UGGGGUAUGGCUUGGUGGUAGAGCGCUUGCCUAGCAUGUAUGAGGCACUGAGUUUGAUCCUCAGCACUGCAU